Non-coding RNA from Protopterus annectens (West African lungfish), 73 nucleotides. Lineage: Eukaryota; Metazoa; Chordata; Ceratodontiformes; Protopteridae. The record is from the annotation of a RefSeq genome assembly.
GCCAAAAUAGCUCAGUUAGGAGAGUGUUAGACUAAAGAUUUAAAGGUCCCUGGUUCACUCCUGGGUUUUGGCA